ACCUGGUUCUUCUGACAUCAUCAUUCUUUUCUCUGGACCACCCACUCAUUCAGUUCUAAGCAAAAAUUGCCUUGAAACAUGUCUAUGGUUGCUUUUCAAUUGUCAAUACCCAACAAGUCUCCUCUUCCCCCUCCUCCAAUUAGUCUAUAAGCUACUUGAGGACAGUGAUUUCUCCUUCUGGAUCCUUGGGAUGAACACAUGCCAUAUCAGUAAAAAUAGAUAAAUUAAAUGAGUGAUUGUAGAGGAGUGUAGGGUAGUGGAAAGAGUGCUAUAAUUGGUGUCAGGAAGACCUGAGUUCAAGCCCUGUCACUAACACUAUGUGGAUGGGUAUGGGCAAACUACUGAACCUCUCCUGACCCUCAGUCUCCUCUUCUGAGAAGUGGGAGUAACACUAUCCUCCCAACAUUGUUGUGAAGAAAUCAUUUUGCAAACGUUUAAGUUAAAAUGUGAGUUUUAAUGGUUAUCAACUAUGCAAAAGAAGCAGCAUUAAGUAGAUAGAGGGCACCACCUCCCAAGCAGAAAGAUUUGGGUUCAAAUUCCCUCUCACUUUCAUAGUGACUAUGGGACCCUAAUUAAGUGACUUAACCUCUUAGUGUCCUCAGAAACUCUCUAAGACUUCCAGUUGAUGAACAAGUGGAAACCUGCCCUGAUAAAGAGAGUUUUCCUCCCCAGAAGUUCCCUAUCAUAUGAAACCACAAAAUCACUGACAGAAAGAAAGGUGGAGUUGAAGGAGCAGUUAGAUGGCGCCAUAGUACACAGAGCACCUGGUUUCAAGUCAUGAAGACAAGUUCAAAUCCAGUCUUAGGCACUUUCUAGUUUUGUGAUCCUGAGCAGAAAGAAAGAAAGAAAGAAAGAAAGAAAGAAAGAAAGAAAGAAAGAAAGAAAGAAAGAAAGAAAGAAAGAAAGAAAGAAAGAAAGAAAGAAAGAAAGAAAGAAAGAAAGAAAGAAAGAAAGAAAGAAAGAAAGAAAGAAAGAAGGAAAGAAGGAAAGAAAGAAAGAAAGGCAUCACGUGACAAAAAGAUAUGAUAUAAAACUAUCUUUCUUUGGAAAUAGACAUAUACAAGUCAUUUGCCAAACAAUAUUUCUAUUGCUCUAUAGGAAAUUCUCCUGGUUCUGUGAAUUUUAGAAAUCUCUGCAGAUCUUUCUCAUCUUUUACCUAUGUGUUGUUUGACUUCCAGUUUCAUUCUUAAUUUCAUCAGAAUAAUUUGCUUUUUUUGAGAUGUCACAAAACUUUCUGUAAAUGUGUCUGGGAGUGAGUUUUUGUUUGUUUGAGGGGAGGUUUGAAACACAAAACUAAUUUAAUAGAAAUUUCUUUUGUUAUUCUUAGGAUAGAGGCAGCUAAAUAGCUUAGUAGAUUGGAAGCUAGAGAGGAGGUCCUCCGUUCAAAUUUGACCUCAAUCACUUCCUAGCUAUAUGAUGCUGGACAAGUAACUUAAUCCCCAUUGCCUAACUCUUACAUACUUCUGUCUUGGAACCAAUACAUAGUAUUAAUUCUAAGACCAAAGGUAAGGAUUUUUUAUUAGUGUGUCUUCCCUUCCACUGCUUCACCCUGUUUUGUGAGAUGAUCAUGUAUUUCGUUUCCCAUCAUCAUUCUCUGUAAGAUUUUACAAAUGAGUUUAUAUUCUAAACUAGAAGACAGCCCCCAGGCUAGAUUUGGCCCUUGAGCCACAGUUUGUCAAUCCUUGUUCUAAACCAAUGUUUCCCUUGGUUGCCAUAUCUCUCCCUAGCAAGUAACCCAAAUAUUUAUUGGCUAAGGCUGUUCUUAAUACAAUUUUUUGUUGUUGUUUUCCUCAUUUUGGUAAUUAAUCAAACCUCUGUGCAGAAAUAUUAUAAUAGGUGUUAUUAUACACAUAAUAGAGGCAGUUAGGUGGCACAAAGGAUAAAAUGCUUGGAGUUAGAAAGACCUAAAUUCAAAACCAGCCUCCAUCACUUACUAUUUGUGUUAUCCUGGGCAAGUCCCUUAACCUCUGUCUGUCUCAGUUUCCUAAACUCUAAAAUGAUUAUCAUAACACAUCUCCCUCCCAGGAUUGUUGUAAGGAUCAAAUGAUUUUAUAUUUAUAAAGCACUUAGCAU
Molecule: long non-coding RNA, 2073 nt
Filed under: Monodelphis domestica (gray short-tailed opossum)
Lineage: Eukaryota; Metazoa; Chordata; Mammalia; Didelphimorphia; Didelphidae
Description: lncRNA (ENSMODG00000039673.1)
Source: RNAcentral